GCAAGGAAUUUUCGGCAAUGGGCGAGAGCCUGACCGAGCAACGCCGCGUGCAGGAUGACGGCCUUCGGGUUGUAAACUGCUUUUGGAUGGGAAGAUAAUGACGGUACCAUCCGAAUAAGCCCCGGCUAACUCCGUGCCAGCAGCCGCGGUAAGACGGAGGGGGCAAGCGUUGUCCGGACUCACUGGGCGUAAAGGGUGCGUAGGCGGUUGUCUGCGUCCGCGCUGAAAUCCCACAGCUUAACUGUGGGGCGCGUGCGGAUACGAGAUAACUCGAGGCAUGGAGAGGACAGGAGAAUUCCUGGUGUAGUGGUGAAAUGCGUAGAUAUCAGGAGGAAUACCUGUGGCGCAAGCGCCUGUCUGGCCAUGACCUGACGCUGUGGCACGAAAGCGUGGGGAGCAAACAGGAUUAGAUACCCCAGUAGUCC
Molecule: ribosomal RNA, 425 nt
Filed under: uncultured bacterium
Lineage: Bacteria
Description: partial 16S ribosomal RNA
Rfam family: Bacterial small subunit ribosomal RNA
Source: RNAcentral